RNAcentral lists this ribosomal RNA (379 nucleotides) under uncultured cyanobacterium. RNAcentral describes it as "bacterial SSU rRNA". It matches the Rfam family "Bacterial small subunit ribosomal RNA", at positions 376 to 770 of the family's 1533-position model. Lineage: Bacteria; Bacillati; Cyanobacteriota. The record is from RNAcentral.
CGAAAGCCUGACGGAGCAACGCCGCGUGGGGGAAGAAGGUUUUUGGAUUGUAAACCCCUUUUCUCAGGGAAGAAGAUCUGACGGUACCUGAGGAAUCAGCCUCGGCUAACUCCGUGCCAGCAGCCGCGGUAAUACGGAGGAGGCAAGCGUUAUCCGGAAUCAUUGGGCGUAAAGCGUUCGUAGGCGGCUGUUCAAGUCUGCUGUCAAAGACCGAGGCUCAACCUCGGGUCGGCAGUGGAAACUGGACAGCUAGAGGUCGGUAGGGGCAAAGGGAAUUCCCAGUGUAGCGGUGAAAUGCGUAGAUAUUGGGAAGAACACCGGUGGCGAAAGCGCUCUACUGGGUCGCACCUGACCCUCAGGGACGAAAGCUAAGGGAGCG